This 201-nucleotide long non-coding RNA is filed under the name Gossypium raimondii (Peruvian cotton). RNAcentral describes it as "long non-coding RNA (GRAI_LNC001394)". The record is from RNAcentral. Lineage: Eukaryota; Viridiplantae; Streptophyta; Magnoliopsida; Malvales; Malvaceae.
CGGAAUAGUGAAAGUCAGAAUUGUAGGCAAUUCUAAAUUAAGUAUAUGUUUUCGAGCAAACUAAUAAGAAAAUUGACAAAAAUAAAUAAGAUAUAGAGAUAACAAAAUAGAAAAAAAAUCGACAAAAUAAUAAAAAUAACAAUGCAUAAUAAACAAAAAAAAACAAAACAUAUAAGUCUAAGAAAACAAAAUAAAACAACU